CUGAAGAGCUGAAGGUCGGGGAGGGAAACUGGAAGAGGCCCUUAUUCCUGAGAGUUGGUACCGAUAGAGAAUUGUCAGGAGGGACUUGGACAAAAUGGCUGAUAGGAAGGUUGGAAGUUGUCACCCUCUUUAUUUGUUUUUUUGCUCCUAAGGGGAUACCAAAGAAGGUGAGUUUAUGCUGCAGGUCCAGCUGUACAUCUGUUUGUUUUGUUUUGUUUUGUUUUUCAAGACAGGGUUUUUCUGUGGAGUUCUGGCUGUCCUGUGUCUGGCUCUGUAGACCAGGCUAGCCUCAACUCAGAUCUGCCUGCCUCUGCCUUGAGUUGCUGGAAUUAAUAAAGGUGUACACCACUGCCUGGCCCUACUGUACAUUUUAACAUGGAAUUCACAAUUUACCUCUCGGUGUUUGUGAUUUUCUGCAUUCUCCAAAUUUUGAAAGACCACUCACAAAAGAUUAGAAAAAAGGGGGACUUUUACAGAAAUCAUUAAUAUAUGUGAGUUAUUAAAUAGCCUUUGGUAUAAUAGUACUGGUGAUUAGUAUGGAGAAAAAAAUGAAAAAACUACAUGUCAAUUACUGUGAAAUAUUUUUAGCUAUUUCCUUUUCUUGUGCUUGUUCCUAAAAACAUAGUUGGUUAUGUGUUAUUCUCAAGCUGCUCUGCCUCUAAAGAGCUGAGGAAGAAACUGUGGUUUGGGCUAUCUUUAUGAUAAUGGCCCUUUCCUCUUCAUAAUAUUGCCAAGUAUGGUCAGUUCCACACAAUUGCUCUUAACCUGUGGUAUUAGCAAAUCAUGUAGGUGCUGGUAACAGAUCCCGGAUACACUCAGCACAGGGACAUAUGGGACGUAAGAGCCAUUGCUGUGAGAGGUUAGCUAUCAGCUAACUACAUGCUAACAAGGAGCCGAUGUCACGACGUGGGAACUUGGUGCUGAAGAUGGGAACUCAAAGCUUUGUGCAUUUCCUGAUGCUGUGAUAAAAAUGUGAAUAAAACUGUUCCUACCAUGACUGUGGGAUACCAGUUUCUGUUAAACUGUCAUUACUGAUGUCACAGCACUUCCUGGUGGAGUGCAGAUGCUCGCUACUACUUGCACUUUGUAUGUAAGAGAUGUUCAGUUGUUGAAGGAGUAGAACACAAGUUAGUUUUGUGCUGCUACAAAUAAUUUGUCUAUAUAUUGCUAGAGCACUGAACACAGCCAGCCCAGUAGCUCAGGCAGUUAAAUAACAUUUUUGUCUUUGAAGCCUGAAGUUCCAUAAAAUUAAGUAGCAGUGUUCUGGUGACUGUGAUAUGUCAAACCGUCUAAAAAUAUAGAUUUUUCUUUAAAUAAUCUGUGAUUUACUGUAUACAAAGGGAGGUUUAGGUUAUAGCUUUUAUAAAAAAGAACUUAUUUUAAAUGUUUUUUGAGAUUAGGGGGUGGAUCUCAGUAGGAAACUGCUUUUGUUUUGACUGUUAAAAAGGUACAGAUUUUUUUUUUUUUUGGUUCUUUUUUUCGGAGCUGGGGACCGAAGGUACAGAUGUUUUUAAGUGUAUAUUUAACUGGUUUAGUCUUGUAUAUUAGAACUAUUUAUGUGAUAUAAAAUUACCUAUCUUUCCAAGACCUGCCUAACUACAGGUGUUUUGUCUCUUCAAAUUGAGAAGACAAGAAGAUACAACAUGUUCAUUUAUAUAAACCUAAGAAUAUUCUGCCAUGUCUAGUUAUUUUGAUGCCUAAUUAAUUUUCUGUAUGCACUUCUGUUUAAUGUUUCAGCUUUACUGUUUUUUGAUGCAUUCUCUUCGGUCUUAGCUCAACUGUGAAUCUGUGCAUCUAAUGUGCAAUUUAUCAUCCAAUAAAUGUUAUGUUGUG
Molecule: long non-coding RNA, 1833 nt
Filed under: Rattus norvegicus (Norway rat)
Lineage: Eukaryota; Metazoa; Chordata; Mammalia; Rodentia; Muridae
Description: long non-coding RNA NONRATT004034
Source: RNAcentral